GCGAAGGUGGCGGAAAUGGUAGACGCGCUAGCUUCAGGUGUUAGUGUCCUUAGGGACGUGGGGGUUCAAGUCCCCCCCCUCGCACCA
This 87-nucleotide transfer RNA is filed under the name Klebsiella pneumoniae. RNAcentral describes it as "tRNA-Leu". It matches the Rfam family "tRNA". From Rfam's summary of the family: Transfer RNA (tRNA) molecules are approximately 80 nucleotides in length. Their secondary structure includes four short double-helical elements and three loops (D, anti-codon, and T loops). The record is from RNAcentral. Lineage: Bacteria; Pseudomonadati; Pseudomonadota; Gammaproteobacteria; Enterobacterales; Enterobacteriaceae.